AAUGAACGCUGGCGGUAUGCCUAACACAUGCAAGUCGAACGACAACACAAUAAGAUCUUUCUCUUGCCGUUGGCGAGUGGCGGGCGAGUGAGACAUACAUCGCCAUCUUCUUUUUCUUGGGUGAUUUCGUAGGGACACUUCCGCUACUACCUCAUACAUCCUACCGGUUAAAUCAGUGGAUCUUCGCACUUUGCCCGUUUCUUUUAGCCGACGUCGCAUUAGCUAGUUGGUGAGGUAACGGCCCACCAAGGCAACGAUGCGUAGCUGAUCUGAGAGGAUGAUCGGCCACACUGGAACUGAGACACGGUCCAGACUCCUACGGGAGGCAGCAGUAGGGAAUAUUCCGCAAAGGGCGAAAGCCUGACGGAGCAACGCCGCGUGAGUGAAGAAGGUCUUCGGAUCGUAAAACUCUGUUAUUAGGGAAGAAAAGAUGUGUAAGUAACUAUGCACGUCUUGACGGUACCUAAUCAGAAAGCCACGGCUAACUACGUG
RNAcentral lists this ribosomal RNA (492 nucleotides) under uncultured bacterium. RNAcentral's name for it is "partial 16S ribosomal RNA". It matches the Rfam family "Bacterial small subunit ribosomal RNA", at positions 29 to 507 of the family's 1533-position model. The record is from RNAcentral.